AACGAACGCUGGCGGCAGGCCUAACACAUGCAAGUCGAGCGGACCUUUCGGGGUCAGCGGCGGACGGGUGAGUAACGCGUGGGAAUAUGCCCUUCUCUACGGAAUAGUCCUGGGAAACUGGGGGUAAUACCGUAUACGCCCUUUGGGGGAAAGAUUUAUCGGGGAAGGAUUAGCCCGCGUUGGAUUAGGUAGUUGGUGGGGUAAUGGCCUACCAAGCCGACGAUCCAUAGCUGGUUUGAGAGGAUGAUCAGCCACACUGGGACUGAGACACGGCCCAGACUCCUACGGGAGGCAGCAGUGGGGAAUCUUAGACAAUGGGGGCAACCCUGAUCUAGCCAGGCCGCGUGAGUGAUGAAGGCCUUAGGGUUGUAAAGCUCUUUCAGCUGGGAAGAUAAUGACGGUACCAGCAGAAGAAGCCCCGGCUAACUCCGU
RNAcentral lists this ribosomal RNA (432 nucleotides) under uncultured bacterium. RNAcentral's name for it is "partial 16S ribosomal RNA". It matches the Rfam family "Bacterial small subunit ribosomal RNA", at positions 29 to 506 of the family's 1533-position model. The record is from RNAcentral.